This is a long non-coding RNA of Dermacentor andersoni, 2889 nucleotides long. RefSeq lists it as uncharacterized. NCBI's taxonomy places the organism in Eukaryota, Metazoa, Arthropoda, Arachnida, Ixodida, Ixodidae. The record is from RefSeq and is a predicted model, not a curated record.
AUGAGUUGCAGGGUGAGCGUUGGUCAACUCCAGGUGAACGUUUUUGUCAUGCGCUUUGGAGCUCCAUUUCUGCGGCGCCUGUACGUCUUACGCCUAUCAAGAGUCAUGCUGUGUUCUUGCCAUCAGACUGGUGUCACUUUGGGUCGACAUCAUUCUUUGUUGAGGAUCAGCACAGAAACAAGCCCACGGAAAUCUGCUUUCUUAGUACCUCUGAUCUCAACAGUGUAUUUUCGUGUCUGCGACCACUGGAACCGAUCCUUCAGGAUGAGUAGUAAAUUGUGUAGCGUACCCGUGAUCUCUUCUGUUCUGCAUCUGAAACUAUGGACGAAAGGCUUCACCCAGCGUGUGGUGACUUCCUUAUGGGCGGAUGUACCUGUGAACGUUGGGUUAAUUUUUGUCUCUGUGACUGUUCAAGCCAGUUCACAGAAAUGCCCCACUAAAUUUCUUAGUACACGUGAACUGCUAUCUAGUCGUCUUCGACUACUGAGCCAGCCUGCAGCGAGCCUUAGUGAAAUGUUUAGUCGCCAAGAUACCUGUGAUCUUUUCAGAAGUAUUUGUAACUGCUGCCAUUGAAGAACAGUCAUGCUCUGCCUCUGGUAACUUCCAUCGAGGCUGUCUGAUACCCGUGAAUAUUUAGGAUGAAAUUGUGUUUAUGUGUGGCCGCUGAAGCAAGCCCACACAAAUCCUCUAUUAGCUUUUCAUAUGGGUGAACUCAUAUAAUGCAUUUUUCUGUCUAUGACUGCUGAAGCGAGCGUGCUGCAAGCUUUUAGUUAAUUGUGUAGUCGCCAAGGUACCUGUGACGGUUCAGCAAUAUUUGGAUGUGACCACGGAAAGGUCACAUUCAGCUUCUGUUUACUUGCUUAGAGGCUUUCAAGCCUAUGAACCCUUAUGGUGAAUUUGUGUUUGUGACCACUCAAGUGCAGAAAGCGUCUUGUAACUCUAGUACUUGUGACAUCAGUUUGGUAUUGUGUUGAAGCAAGUGUCUUGUAACUGCUUUUGUAUCUGUGAACUCUCCAGUAAUGUUCGUGUUUGCAACUGCUUAAGUGAUCCUUGAGUAACUUUUUUAAUGCCCAGUGUGUCUAAAAUAUGUAGUACUUUUACUGUGUGCAACCGCUGAAGGAGGCCCGCAGAAAGCGGAGUAGCUUCCGUCAUGGCUAAGACACCUCUGAACUUUCCAGUAAAUGUUGCAUUUAUGUGCCCGCGACCGUUGAAGUGAGCCAGCCCACAGUAGCCCUCCUACUAACUUCCUUUGUACCCCCCCCCCCCCCCACCCUUGCAUAGGGCUCUUAAAGUUCUUUUACUGGCCGAGGUGCAUCUGCGAAUUAUUAGCUCAACUGAAAUGGUCUUGUCACUACACACGAAAGUGUCGAUGUUUGCUCUGGUGACCUUUGCCAGAACUUGUUAUGGAUGCACAGUGCAUUUGCUCUGCACUCUAGGAACAGUUGCACCCUUUGGGGUGUAAAUUUGUCACAGAACAAUAAUCGUCAUCUGUCAUGCUUGCGUUUCCUUUCUUGAAAACCCUGCGCUCGUUACUUUCCUGUCAAGAAUGCUCUGUCAUGCUUAUGCUAAUAAUGCGCAUGCCGUUCGUGACAUGGAAGUACCGGGCUUGCAGCGUUAAAGAAAGGAAAUGCAGGCAAGACAGAUGACGAUUAUUGUUCUGUGGCAAACAUACACCCCAAAGGGUGCAACUAUUUUUAGAUUGUAAAUGGAUGAUCAUACAGCAGCUGUUUGUCUACAUAUGACCACUGAACUAGCCUCGAGUAAUUUUGUUAAUUGCUUAAUGUAGUUGUGACAUCUUAAUUUAGCAUAACUCGUGGUUGUGUAUGUAACUACUGAAUAUGGCCUAGGGAAAGGCUCUGGCAACUUAAAGUGGCUAACAUAUCUAAACUUUUAAGCAAAUUUUGCAUUGAUGAGCCUGCGACCACGAAAGUGAGCCCACAGCAAGCCUCGUGAUAAGUUCCAUAGUGGCCCCACUGCGAGUUCUUGAAUUUUCUUGCUACCCAAAGUGCAUUUCUAAAGAGUUUGAAUAAUGUGCACUUUUACUAACCAUGGUGCAGUAUAAAUAACUCCUAAUAGCUGAACUUGUAUGAUGAAAUUAUCGAGUUUUAUUUGCAUUGAUGGGUUUUACUGAAAACUGUUGAGUGCAUUUUAGAGUUCAACGAGUGAUCUUCCUGCAACUGUUCUAUUGAAAUAAAUAAAUGCCGUAUUUUUAAUGAGAUUGUCAAAUGAUUCAGCAGCCUGCAGAACUUAGUUCUGUAGCUUCGUCCCCGUUAGCACAAAAAGGUAUAGGUUGCAUGUCUAUAUGUUUUGAAUUAAUGCAUUUUUAUCGAGUUGUAUGUAAUGUAUUUGCUUAGUGUAGCAGAGAACCAUGUGUACAAUGCUUAGUUGCACUGCAGCCUUCAUUUAACGUGCUUUGAGAUGCGGUGGGCUGCAUUCUUGGCUUAUCUCCUGGUACUUCAGCUUUUGCAUGACAAAAAUAUUUCGUUGACUUAUUGGAUUCCUGGAUUUUUUGUGUUGCUAUGGUAUACACUGACGCCAUGAAUGCUUAACCAAUUUUCUCUGCUUGUAAAUAACUUAUUAUUUAUAGAUGUGAAUUUCAAGGCUGUAUUGAUUGUAUCAUUUUAUACUAUUCACUUUCUGUAAUAUAAUUUCUUGCAGCAUUCUAUUGUUGAUUUUUAUACCCGUAUGCGUUUCUGUUAUACAAUGUUCACUAAUGUUCACUUUUUUUUUCUCGUUUAUCCAUUAUAGUAUGUUUGUGUUCUCUUUAUUGUGCACAGUGCCAUUUCUGUAGGGGGUACAGACCCCGUCAAGCCGAAUUCAUUUGGCUUUUGUUUGUACUCCUGUCAUCUGUACAUGUAUAGAUGCAAAAUAAACUUGAAUUGAAAUUGA